Molecule: ribosomal RNA, 2897 nt
Filed under: Streptococcus pneumoniae GA13494
Lineage: Bacteria; Bacillati; Bacillota; Bacilli; Lactobacillales; Streptococcaceae
Description: bacterial LSU rRNA
Rfam family: Bacterial large subunit ribosomal RNA
Source: RNAcentral
UAAGUUAAUAAGGGCGCACGGUGGAUGCCUUGGCACUAGGAGCCGACGAAGGACGUGACAAACGACGAUAUGCCUUGGGUAGCUGUAAGUAAGCGAUGAUCCAGGGAUUUCCGAAUGGGGGAACCCAACAGGUAAUACCUGUUACCUACAUCUGUUAAGGAUGUGAGGAGGAAGACGCAGUGAACUGAAACAUCUAAGUAGCUGCAGGAAGAGAAAGCAAAAGCGAUUGCCUUAGUAGCGGCGAGCGAAACGGCAGAAGGGCAAACCGAAGAGUUUACUCUUCGGGGUUGUAGGACUGCAAUGUGGACUCAAAGAUUAUAGAAGAAUGAUUUGGGAAGAUCAGCCAAAGAGAGUAAUAGCCUCGUAUUUAAAAUAGUCUUUGUACUUAGCAGUAUCCUGAGUACGGCGGGACACGUGAAAUCCCGUCGGAAUCUGGGAGGACCAUCUCCCAACCCUAAAUACUCCCUAGUGACCGAUAGUGAACCAGUACCGUGAGGGAAAGGUGAAAAGCACCCCGGAGGGGGGUGAAAUAGAACCUGAAACCGUGUGCCUACAACAAGUUCGAGCCCGUUAAAUGGGUGAGAGCGUGCCUUUUGUAGAAUGAACCGGCGAGUUACGUUAUGAUGCGAGGUUAAGUUGAAGAGACGGAGCCGUAGGGAAACCGAGUCUGAAUAGGGCGCCUUAGUAUCAUGACGUAGACCCGAAACCAUGUGACCUACCCAUGAGCAGGUUGAAGGUGCGGUAAGACGCACUGGAGGACCGAACCAGGGCACGUUGAAAAGUGCUUGGAUGACUUGUGGGUAGCGAGAAAUUCCAAACGAACUUGGAGAUAGCUGGUUCUCUCCGAAUUAGCUUUAGGGCUAGCGUCGACAUUAGAGAUUCUUGGAGGUAGAGCACUGUUUGGGUGAGGGGUCCAUCCCGGAUUACCAAUCUCAGAUAAACUCCGAAUGCCAAUGAAUUAUGGUCGGCAGUCAGACUGCGAGUGCUAAGAUCCGUAGUCGAAAGGGAAACAGCCCAGACCACCAGCUAAGGUCCCAAAAUAAUUGUUAAGUGGAAAAGGAUGUGGGGUUGCACAGACAACUAGGAUGUUAGCUUAGAAGCAGCUAUUCAUUCAAAGAGUGCGUAAUAGCUCACUAGUCGAGUGACCCUGCGCCGAAAAUGUACCGGGGCUAAAACAAUUUACCGAAGCUGUGGAUACCUUUAUAGGUAUGGUAGGAGAGCGUUCUAUGUGUGAUGAAGGUAUACCGUGAGGAGUGCUGGAACGCAUAGAAGUGAGAAUGCCGGUAUGAGUAGCGAAAGACAGGUGAGAAUCCUGUCCACCGUAAGACUAAGGUUUCCAGGGGAAGGCUCGUCCGCCCUGGGUUAGUCGGGACCUAAGGAGAGACCGAAAGGUGUAUCCGAUGGACAACAGGUUGAUAUUCCUGUACUAGAGUAUGUAGUGAUGGAGGGACGCAGUAGGCUAACUAAAGCAGACGAUUGGAAGAGUCUGUCUAAGCAGUGAGGUGUGAAUUGAGUCAAAUGCUUAAUUCUAUAACAUUGAGCUGUGAUGGGGAGCGAAGUUUAGUAGCGAAGUUAGUGACGUCACACUGCCAAGAAAAGCUUCUAGCGUUUAAACAUACUCUACCCGUACCGCAAACCGACACAGGUAGUCGAGGCGAGUAGCCUCAGGUGAGCGAGAGAACUCUCGUUAAGGAACUCGGCAAAAUGACCCCGUAACUUCGGGAGAAGGGGUGCUGACUUAAAGUCAGCCGCAGUGAAUAGGCCCAAGCAACUGUUUAUCAAAAACACAGCUCUCUGCUAAAUCGUAAGAUGAUGUAUAGGGGGUGACGCCUGCCCGGUGCUGGAAGGUUAAGAGGAGUGCUUAGCGUAAGCGAAGGUAUGAAUUGAAGCCCCAGUAAACGGCGGCCGUAACUAUAACGGUCCUAAGGUAGCGAAAUUCCUUGUCGGGUAAGUUCCGACCCGCACGAAAGGCGUAAUGAUUUGGGCACUGUCUCAACGAGAGACUCGGUGAAAUUUUAGUACCUGUGAAGAUGCAGGUUACCCGCGACAGGACGGAAAGACCCCAUGGAGCUUUACUGCAGUUUGAUAUUGAGUGUCUGUACCACAUGUACAGGAUAGGUAGGAGUCUAAGAGAUCGGGACGCCAGUUUCGAAGGAGACGCUGUUGGGAUACUACCCUUGUGUUAUGGCCACUCUAACCCAGAUAGGUGAUCCCUAUCGGAGACAGUGUCUGACGGGCAGUUUGACUGGGGCGGUCGCCUCCUAAAAGGUAACGGAGGCGCCCAAAGGUUCCCUCAGAAUGGUUGGAAAUCAUUCGCAGAGUGUAAAGGUAUAAGGGAGCUUGACUGCGAGAGCUACAACUCGAGCAGGGACGAAAGUCGGGCUUAGUGAUCCGGUGGUUCCGUAUGGAAGGGCCAUCGCUCAACGGAUAAAAGCUACCCUGGGGAUAACAGGCUUAUCUCCCCCAAGAGUUCACAUCGACGGGGAGGUUUGGCACCUCGAUGUCGGCUCGUCGCAUCCUGGGGCUGUAGUCGGUCCCAAGGGUUGGGCUGUUCGCCCAUUAAAGCGGCACGCGAGCUGGGUUCAGAACGUCGUGAGACAGUUCGGUCCCUAUCCGUCGCGGGCGUAGGAAAUUUGAGAGGAUCUGCUCCUAGUACGAGAGGACCAGAGUGGACUUACCGCUGGUGUACCAGUUGUCUUGCCAAAGGCAUCGCUGGGUAGCUAUGUAGGGAAGGGAUAAACGCUGAAAGCAUCUAAGUGUGAAACCCACCUCAAGAUGAGAUUUCCCAUGAUUAUAUAUCAGUAAGAGCCCUGAGAGAUGAUCAGGUAGAUAGGUUAGAAGUGGAAGUGUGGCGACACAUGUAGCGGACUAAUACUAAUAGCUCGAGGACUUAUCCA